GGCGAACGCUGGCGGCGUGCUUAACACAUGCAAGUCGAACGGAAAGGCCCUGCUUUUGUGGGGUGCUCGAGUGGCGAACGGGUGAGUAACACGUGAGUAACCUGCCCUUGACUUUGGGAUAACUUCAGGAAACUGGGGCUAAUACCGGAUAGGAGCUCCUGCUGCAUGGUGGGGGUUGGAAAGUUUCGGCGGUUGGGGAUGGACUCGCGGCUUAUCAGCUUGUUGGUGGGGUAGUGGCUUACCAAGGCUUUAACGGGUAGCCGGCCUGAGAGGGUGACCGGCCACAUUACGACUGAGAUACGGCCCAGACUCCUACGGGAGGCAGCAGUGGGGAAUAUUGCACAAUGGGCGGAAGCCUGAUGCAGCAACGCCGCGUGCGGGAUGACGGCCUUCGGGUUGUAAACCGCUUUCGCCUGUGACGAAGCGUGAGUGACGGUAAUGGGUAAAGAAGCACCGGCUAACUACGUG
Molecule: ribosomal RNA, 468 nt
Filed under: uncultured bacterium
Lineage: Bacteria
Description: partial 16S ribosomal RNA
Rfam family: Bacterial small subunit ribosomal RNA
Source: RNAcentral